UAAUGUCUGGGAAACUGCCUGAUGGAGGGGGAGUAACUACUGGAAACGGUAGCUAAUACCGCAUAACGUCGCAAGACCAAAGAAGGGGGGACCGUUCGGGCCUCUUGCCAUCGGAUGUGCCCAGACGGGAUUAGCUAGUAGGUGGGGUAAAGGCUCACCUAGGCGACGAUCCCUAGCUGGUCUGAGAGGAUGACCAGCCACACUGGAACUGAGACACGGUCCAGACUCCUACGGGAGGCAGCAUG
Molecule: ribosomal RNA, 245 nt
Filed under: uncultured bacterium
Lineage: Bacteria
Description: partial 16S ribosomal RNA
Rfam family: Bacterial small subunit ribosomal RNA
Source: RNAcentral